This 316-nucleotide ribosomal RNA is filed under the name uncultured Entrophospora. RNAcentral's name for it is "SSU rRNA". It matches the Rfam family "Eukaryotic small subunit ribosomal RNA", at positions 569 to 883 of the family's 1831-position model. Lineage: Eukaryota; Fungi; Glomeromycota; Glomeromycetes; Entrophosporales; Entrophosporaceae. The record is from RNAcentral.
AGCAGCCGCGGUAAUUCCAGCUCCAAUAGCGUAUAUUAAAGUUGUUGCAGUUAAAAAGCUCGUAGUUGAAUUUCGGGAUUGACGUGAUGGUCAUGCCUUAAGGGGUAUGAACUGUUACAGUUGAUUUCUCACCUUCUGGAGAAACUUGAUGUCCUUUAUUGGGUGUCUUGCGGAUCCAGGACCUUUUACCUUGAAAAAUUAGAGUGUUUAAAGCAGGCAUUUUUGCUCGAAUACAUUAGCAUGGAUAAUAGAAUAGGACGGCAUGGUUCUAUUUUGUUGGUUUCUAGGAUCACCGUAAUGAUUAAUAGGGAUAGUU